GCUCACUGAGGCCAGCAGGCUUGCUGCCCGUGUGUGGCUGCCCAGGGGGAGUGCAGGGGACAUUCGUGGUGUGCAGCCCAGCAGCUGAGCCGGGUCAAGGGCUUAUUAAAUGGAGCUUAUUAAAGGAAAGCUUGUGGACAGUGGCUUGGGAACAACAUGGGGCAGAGUCCCUGGUUUUGCCCAAACUCACCAGUUCUUCUGGAACUGCCUCGGAACGACAAGCAUGGGGCUAAGAUGUGGAUGAGACUCGGGCUACUUGGGUGUGGCCUGAGCCACCUGCAGGGUCUUCUGCCCCGCUUUACCUGAGUGUGUGCUUCUGCAGAGCUGUGUAUGAGCUGGUUCCGUCAGAAAGUGAUGGAAUGGAAGGGAACCUUCCUGCAAAUCCUCCUGUAAGGUGGAGAAGCCCCUUGGAUCACACUUCCACGCAGACCUGAGCAGGACACACUGUGGUUUCCUAAGCCCCCGCCCCGUCAGUUGAGCCCGAUGGCCUUCCUGCUGAUCUGUAAGCAGGCUGAGCAACGCUUGUUCCGCCUGGUGGAGAGUUCGUUCUUCUUGGGCCCGGGGAGCUGCAUGUCAGGGUGUUGCUGCUUCGCUCAAGGGUCACUUAUCACGGAGGCCUCUGUGGUCACCCUACAGAGCACUGACCCUCUCCACUGCUACCUCUGUCUCCCCGACUCACCCUCAUCCUCCAUACAACAGAUUGCAUCUGAAAUAAUAUGCAUUCGUUAUUGCCUGUC
Homo sapiens (human) is the source of this 737-nucleotide long non-coding RNA. RefSeq lists it as uncharacterized. The transcript is spliced from 2 exons. The record is from RefSeq and is a predicted model, not a curated record. Lineage: Eukaryota; Metazoa; Chordata; Mammalia; Primates; Hominidae.